RNAcentral lists this ribosomal RNA (548 nucleotides) under uncultured bacterium. RNAcentral's name for it is "partial 16S ribosomal RNA". It matches the Rfam family "Bacterial small subunit ribosomal RNA", at positions 355 to 896 of the family's 1533-position model. The record is from RNAcentral.
UGGGGAAUUUUGGACAAUGGGCGCAAGCCUGAUCCAGCCAUGCCGCGUGCGGGAAGAAGGCCUUCGGGUUGUAAACCGCUUUUGUCAGGGAAGAAAUCCUCUGAGUUAAUACCUCGGGAGGAUGACGGUACCUGAAGAAUAAGCACCGGCUAACUACGUGCCAGCAGCCGCGGUAAUACGUAGGGUGCAAGCGUUAAUCGGAAUUACUGGGCGUAAAGCGUGCGCAGGCGGUUUUGUAAGACAGAGGUGAAAUCCCCGGGCUCAACCUGGGAACUGCCUUUGUGACUGCAAGGCUUGAGUGCGGCAGAGGGGGAUGGAAUUCCGCGUGUAGCAGUGAAAUGCGUAGAUAUGCGGAGGAACACCGAUGGCGAAGGCAAUCCCCUGGGCCUGCACUGACGCUCAUGCACGAAAGCGUGGGGAGCAAACAGGAUUAGAUACCCUGGUAGUCCNCGCCCUAAACGAUGUCAACUGGUUGUUGGGAAGGUUCCUUCUCAGUAACGUAGCUAACGCGUGAAGUUGACCGCCUGGGGAGUACGGCCGCAAGGUUG